Long non-coding RNA from Drosophila biarmipes, 747 nucleotides. RefSeq lists it as uncharacterized. The record is from RefSeq and is a predicted model, not a curated record. Lineage: Eukaryota; Metazoa; Arthropoda; Insecta; Diptera; Drosophilidae. The transcript is spliced from 2 exons.
AUUCGUAAAGUAUCUAAUAUAUACGUAAAGCUUUGUAUUCACAUCGACGAAAACCGAAAGAUAACCAUGGCAGCAAAUACGCGUCUAACGCUUUUUAAUGGGUUAUUCAGAUGAGCUAAGAAAAUAAGGAAAUUCAAUGUGCGCAUCUUCCCACAUCGACCCAUCCCCAAGCGUCUUCCCACAGAGAUCCAUCAGUUGAACGGAUGAUCCAUAAGGUUUUGUCAGCACCCGCGUGCGCGUGGAGAAACCGCCCGAAAUCCAAAACAAGGAAGAACGCUAUGGUCGAGUGCCUCGACUAUGAGAUUCCCUUUACUCAGCUUAAGGAAGCCAAAGAAGCCAAAAUAGAGAUAUAUGUAUAAGCAGCAAAGCUAUAUUUUAGGGCACCACCUACCGGCUAUUUCAGAAGAUGUUAUUUGGGCAGUAGACAGAUUUAAGCGUUUAAGCCGUUUGUGGGUGUUAGAGUGGGCGCAGCUAGACUUGGCAGCUAAUAUCGAGCUGGAGGACACGUUAACUAAGGGACAGCUGGAGGAGCAAUUAGAGACAUUGCCAGGAUGCUGGCCGCCUUUCUGCACUAUCAGCGGUACAACUCCGUUCGCAUUCCGGCUCCAACUUCCGCCACGGACCAUUGGUUUUUUGACAAUAUUGUUUAAAAUCCUUUACAGAUUAGGUUACCCCGAUACGAUUUUUAGGCUCCCAAAUCGACCACCACUUAACAACAAUUGCAUUAUAAAUUCUUUUGUCAUUGUU